This 1077-nucleotide long non-coding RNA is filed under the name Bemisia tabaci. Its description in RNAcentral is "lncRNA ENSSSA2NGG001284". The record is from RNAcentral. Lineage: Eukaryota; Metazoa; Arthropoda; Insecta; Hemiptera; Aleyrodidae.
GAGCUAAUGAUAACUACGGCACAAGUUUAUGAUAUGCAAAUUGUGACGGAAGGAAAUACAUCCUUUACGAAGGAAACGAACGAUACGAAAGAGAUUUUAUUCAGAAGCUUGUCAAACAGAUUCCGAUUACAGUUGGAGUCCAGAGAGAUCAAAAUCUCAAGUUACGAGCAAAACAACGAUUCUUAGAUCUGACUUCAGUCCUGAAAUCCGCGUGGGCUUUCAUAGAUCUGUUUCGCUCCAACAGAGGCUCUGGGGUGGAUCUGAUUUAGAGGCUGGACUUCUGACGUGGAGCUCACCAAUACUUUGUACAGACACAGCAAUCUUAAGGUCGUGUUCGCACAAGUUAUCUCUACUGAAGGAGCAUCGAGGAAAAGGGAAAGCAAAAUCGACCAAUCGAGAGAAGAAACAAGAAAAAGCAUCCCUUUCGCGAAAAAAGUACAAGCAGGCAAUUAUGAGAGUCGAUGAUGCCGAACUGACCGGUGAACAAUCCGAAUACGCAGAGCACACAGAUGUCAAAUAUACAAAAUUAAAGAAGAAAAAAAUCAAGAAGAAAGGAUUGGGGAAGCAAUCCCUGGAGAUCCCUCAAAAAGCCUUAAGAAAAGGAGGCUCAGCAUCAAGCUCUUCUAAUUCAGGCGGCGUUAGUAAAGCAGAAAUCAUGAAAAUCCAAAAUCAGAUGCCAGAAGAUGAUAAAGCGACUAGAAGCAGGAAGAAGAAAAAGCAGAGGUUUGUCAACAUUCAUCGCAAAAUCCGUAAAAUCAUCGACGCUGUUACAACGUCCAAUGGAGACCGAUCGGUCUGCUCAAAUGAAGAUUAUAAACCCAUAUGAUAGAAUAUUAGCAUAAUUUUCAUGACUCACACGAUAUGCGUACUGCCUUUAGUUAUCUAAACUGACCAAUUUAUACAUUGUAACAAGUUAAGAGAACGGCAACGAAAAUGAAUGAAUGAAAAGUGGUUAAAGUAUAUUCCCACAUUUUAUCUCAAACCUGUCAUCUAUUGUAAAUUGAUUUCUCUGUAUAUAUCUCAAAGUCUCCUUUUCUUUUUUUAAAAAAAUCUCCAAAUAAAAUUCUCUUUUUCUGA